RNAcentral lists this ribosomal RNA (791 nucleotides) under uncultured archaeon. RNAcentral describes it as "bacterial SSU rRNA". It matches the Rfam family "Archaeal small subunit ribosomal RNA", at positions 85 to 879 of the family's 1478-position model. The record is from RNAcentral.
ACUGCUCAGUAACACGUAGUCAACAUGCCCAGAGGACGUGGAUAACCUCGGGAAACUGAGGAUAAACCGCGAUAGGUCAUAAUUACUGGAAUGUGUUAUGGCCCAAAUCUAUAUGGCCUCUGGAUUGGACUGCGGCCGAUCAGGCUGUUGGUGAGGUAAUGGCCCACCAAACCUUUUACCGGUACGGGCUCUGAGAGGAGGAGCCCGGAGAUGGGCACUGAGACAAGGGCCCAGGCCCUAUGGGGCGCAGCAGGCGCGAAACCUCUGCAAUAGGCGAAAGCCUGACAGGGUUACUCUGAGUGAUUCCCGCUAAGGGAAUCUUUUGGCAUCUCUAAAAAUGGUGCAGAAUAAGGGGUGGGCAAGUCUGGUGUCAGCCGCCGCGGUAAUACCAGCACCCCGAGUGGUCGGGACGAUUAUUGGGCCUAAAGCAUCCGUAGCCGGUCUUGCAAGUCUUCCGUUAAAUCCAGCUGCUUAACAGAUGGGCUGCGGAGGAUACUACAAGGCUAGGAGGCGGGAGAGGCAAGCGGUACUCAGUGGGUAGGGGUAAAAUCCUCUGAUCCAUUGAAGACCACCAGUGGCGAAGGCGGCUUGCCAGAACGCGCUCGACGGUGAGGGAUGAAAGCUGGGGGAGCAAACCGGAUUAGAUACCCGGGUAGUCCCAGCUGCAAACGAUGCAGACUCGGUGAUGGGCUGGCCUUGUGCCAGCCCAGUGCCGCAGGGAAGCCGUUAAGUCUGCCGCCUGGGGAGUACGGUCGCAAGACUGAAACUUAAAGGAAUUGGCGGGGGAGCAC